RNAcentral lists this ribosomal RNA (528 nucleotides) under Salmonella enterica subsp. enterica. RNAcentral's name for it is "partial 23S ribosomal RNA". It matches the Rfam family "Bacterial large subunit ribosomal RNA", at positions 1 to 561 of the family's 2925-position model. Lineage: Bacteria; Pseudomonadati; Pseudomonadota; Gammaproteobacteria; Enterobacterales; Enterobacteriaceae. RNAcentral also lists the same sequence under 1 other name. The record is from RNAcentral.
GUUGUGAGGUUAAGCGACUAAGCGUACACGGUGGAUGCCCUGGCAGUCAGAGGCGAUGAAGGACGUGCUAAUCUGCGAUAAGCGCCGGUAAGGUGAUAUGAACCGUUAUAACCGGCGAUUUCCGAAUGGGGAAACCCAGUGUGAUUCGUCACACUAUCAUUAACUGAAUCCAUAGGUUAAUGAGGCGAACCGGGGGAACUGAAACAUCUAAGUACCCCGAGGAAAAGAAAUCAACCGAGAUUCCCCCAGUAGCGGCGAGCGAACGGGGAGGAGCCCAGAGCCUGAAUCAGCAUGUGUGUUAGUGGAAGCGUCUGGAAAGGCGCGCGAUACAGGGUGACAGCCCCGUACACAAAAGCGCAUGUGCUGUGAGCUCGAUGAGUAGGGCGGGACACGUGGUAUCCUGUCUGAAUAUGGGGGGACCAUCCUCCAAGGCUAAAUACUCCUGACUGACCGAUAGUGAACCAGUACCGUGAGGGAAAGGCGAAAAGAACCCCGGCGAGGGGAGUGAAAAAGAACCUGAAACCGUGU